GCCGGGCUCGGUGGUGCACGCCUGUCAUCCCAGCAGCUCAGGAGGCUGAGGCAGGAGGAUCGCAGGUUCAAUGUCAGCCUCAGCAACAUGGAGGCCCUGAGCAACUUAGCGAGACCCUGUCUCUA
RNAcentral lists this small RNA (125 nucleotides) under Marmota monax (woodchuck). Lineage: Eukaryota; Metazoa; Chordata; Mammalia; Rodentia; Sciuridae. The record is from RNAcentral.